UACGGGAGGCAGCAGUGGGGAAUAUUGCACAAUGGGCGCAAGCCUGAUGCAGCCAUGCCGCGUGUAUGAAAAAGGCCUUCGGGUUGUAAAGUACUUUCAGUCGUGAGGAAGGUGUUAAGGUUAAUAACCUUAGCAAUUGACGUUAGCGACAGAAGAAGCACCGGCUAACUCCGUGCCAGCAGCCGCGGUAAUACGGAGGGUGCGAGCGUUAAUCGGAAUUACUGGGCGUAAAGGGCACGCAGGCGGUUAAUUAAGUUGGAUGUGAAAUCCCCGGGCUUAACCUGGGAAUGGCAUUCAAGACUGGUUAGCUAGAGUCUUGUAGAGGGGGUAGAAUUCCAUGUGUAGCGGUGAAAUGCGUAGAGAUGUGGAGGAAUACCGGUGGCGAAGGCGGCCCCUGGACAAAGACUGACGCUCGAUGUGCGAAAGCGUGGGGAGCGAAACAGGGAUUAGAUA
Molecule: ribosomal RNA, 453 nt
Filed under: uncultured bacterium
Lineage: Bacteria
Description: bacterial SSU rRNA
Rfam family: Bacterial small subunit ribosomal RNA
Source: RNAcentral